UGUACGCACGAGGUGUAUGCUUUCUUCAUAGUGGGGUUGGUUGCUGUCUUGACUAGGGAUUGAAUUUUCUUGAAACCUUCUGAUGCACUUGUUUGUGCAGAACCAAAGGUGAUCUUUGCUAGCGUUUGAAGAUCAGCACCUGAGGUCUUUGGGUUGGAUUUCAUGUAGCUAGUGCAGAAGGAUUGGUUUUUCGCUUUCCCACAGAUUGCUUUUAUGUCUGCUACUUGUGCAUUCAAGGCACCAAUCAUUACAAAAAACAUCAGAGAAGACACAAUAACUCUGUUCAUCAGGUAUGCUGCCAUCUUUGCUUUUUUCUUUUUUAUGUUCUUUGAUAGAUGAUUAAGUUAUUCCCUUACUAUGCCUGAGUGUUCAUAUUUAUAGAUACUCGCGAUUGAUUGCUUCCACUAGAACUAAUAAUAGAAAUUCUUGGAAUGGGUUGUUGCUCUUUCUGAUUCUUAGUUAGACCACAAGUCCUAAUAUAAGAGAGAGAAACACUUUGCUAUUCUUAGCAUUAGUGCAGAGAUUAGUUAUCUGAUUAGUAUUCUUCUAACUUACUUUCCUGACCUCUCUUCUUUAGGUAGAUUUGCAUUCACGAAUAUGUGUUCAUGAUUUUUGGCACUAAUAAAGUUUUACUGUAGGCAAAUAUUAAAGGUUAUGUGGAUAUAAUUGUCAUAAUUUACACCAGAAGUAACGAGAGAUGGAAGUUUUUUCAUUCUAAGCUAAGAUGCAAGACAUAAUAGUUGACUAAGAAUUUAUUCAUUUAUUGGUUUUUAAGUUACUACAACAGAGUGAAUGACAUUGAAGGGUUUCUGCCAUCUUGCAGGUGAAAGAUACAUAAAGAAUCAAGAAGUCAAAACGUCGGAGAAAACCCUAUCAAUGUUACACAUUCUUUUAAAAAAUGAAUUGAGUUUCGCUACAUAAUCCGGCACAUUAACCCGUCCUUCAAACUGAGCUUCACACACUGAUAUACUAAUGAAGGCUUUAGCAGCCCCUUGAGAUGCUAACGGGUACGCCUUAGAG
This 1020-nucleotide long non-coding RNA is filed under the name Arabidopsis lyrata. Its description in RNAcentral is "long non-coding RNA (ALYR_LNC002320)". The record is from RNAcentral. Lineage: Eukaryota; Viridiplantae; Streptophyta; Magnoliopsida; Brassicales; Brassicaceae.